This is a non-coding RNA of Zea mays, 192 nucleotides long. The record is from RefSeq and is marked provisional. NCBI's taxonomy places the organism in Eukaryota, Viridiplantae, Streptophyta, Magnoliopsida, Poales, Poaceae.
GAAGCUCAGGAGGGAUAGCGCCUAGGAAAUCACACAUAGAUUGGAGCCACGAAGAGGAAGGGAGAAUGAGAGAGAGAGAGACAGAGCAGCUAUGCUGCUCUGUCUCUCUCUCUCACUUUCUCUUGGAUCCAUCUCAAGGUUCUGUCUAUAUAUGAUGAAUCGAUCCGAAGCGCUAUCUAUCCUGAGCUCCAC